AGAAAACAACAAACUGCAAAAAUGGCAGCAGACAAAAAGUUUCCCGCCACUUGAAGGAGCUCCAUUUAUGGAGACGGGUGUACCAAAACAUAGCUCAAGGACGAUUGAGCAUGAAAGCCUUUGGUGUUUUUAUUUUUGUUAACUGUGCUAGUCAUGAACUUUAGUUUUGUCGGACAGGGGUUGGGUAAGAAAAAGGCACAUUUCAGAAAAACAAAAACCCUGUUCUUUUCGCAGUUUGUCAGAAGUCUUCAACGUGUUCUGAGCUGUUGAAAACAAUUGAAAUAGACACGAGACACACGUGCCCACGCAGUUUUGCAGUUGCCACCUCCAAGUAGUGUUUGUCCACUUCAAUCCAACAAGCCAUGGGAACAGGCGAAAAUGAUCCAGGCUAUUACGCAGGCCCAGGCAGUUCGACUUAGAGGACCGUAGGUCAUCUUUACAGCUGGACUAAUCUCGGGUACUUCUUGUUGAUCGACGUAGGGUGCCAGACCGUAAACGACCGCCAGACCAACAGCAGUAGAGAGCGUCCAUCCUAAACUGACUAAAAGCUUUCAAGAUAACCAUUUAAUCGAAAUGAAGAAUGUUUGGUGACGUGUAAAUACCAGCCCGUCCAGAUGCCUACAAGAAUGAUUUGCUGAAAUUUCGACUCACUUUGCAAGGCCCACAAGCUCCUAUUGGUGUAGAGGCUAUGAACGUAAAAUUGGCUAUCCUCCAGACAUUUUUGGCUGAUGUUAGUGGCCACGGCGGUUGGAAACGAAGAAGAUUUCAGUGCGACAAAGACAUCGUGAAAUUUCCAGGACUUCAUCAACGUCCGGCGAUAUGACCAAACCUUGAUUCAUAAGCUGAUGGGAUUCCACUCCUAACGGCACUACAAGAAAAAGAAGCAUCCAUGAAGGAUCCAUGGUACCUGGGAAACUGUUAGAAGCUCGGCCUCGAAGAGAAGAUGAACUUUUCUAAAUUGAGGAAAGAUGCCUCUAAAGUGACAGACACCACAAACGCCAUUCCGAAGCAAAUAAGGAGAAUUCCAAAACAAGUUGUAAACUGGUCCGGCAAAGAAUAGUAGAAACGCUUGCGCAACGCAGCAUAGAAUACAAUCAGAAAGUCGAAGUGAAUGAGGUAGACGCAAUACGUCAGCCUACCCAACGUAGGUACCUCCAUAGCCACGUGAACAAGCGAAAAUAAUCCAGGCAAUAACAAAAGCCCAAGCUGUUCGAUGUAAAGGUCCAUAAGUCAUUUGGACAACAGGACUAACCUCUGGCACUUUAGACUGGUCGACGUAAGGCGUCAACCCGUAAAUGAUGGCAAGGCCAACGGCAGUGGAAAGAGUCCAGCCCAAACUAACCAAAAGCUUGAACAACACAUACGUUGCUGUGAUUGCUUGGUGACAUGUAAAUACCAGCCGGCCCAAAUACCAAUCAGCUCCAUACGUGCGUGUGACCCAAAGGGUGGCACUGAGGUCGUCUCUAGCGUAAACGAAGAAAAUACUCGCUUGGCAGAGAACGGCAAUAAAGGCCAGCCAUGCCAGUCCAGGUUUCUUCCAACGCCAAAGCGGAUACACGAUUAGUGGUGAGAUGACAAAGAGUUGCAUAUCGACAGCCAAAUACCACGUUUGUCCCAUGCACUGAAAGAUAUUAAAUGAAGAAUGCUUAAGCCCAGUAAGGGAAAACGAAAAGAAUUGUCUUACCCCAUAGUCAGGAUCCAAUGGAAACAAAUUGUUAACUGUCCAAGAAAAAGGAAAAAUCAGUAGGCGUUGCGACAUGCGUUUGAAUACACAGUCACGCUGUACCAAUUAGGACCUGUCCCGACGUAGAUAGUUAGAGCUGCAAUGAAACCGAGAAUGAAGGCGUAGACGAUCGUCAAACGUAAAUAUCGAUGCAAAUAAUAAAGGCCGGCGUUGAAUUUUCCUUUGGUGCGGUCCAGUUCACGGAGCAGAAGGUACGAGACGAGCAACCCACUCAUCAAGAAAAAGGUGUCAACUGAAACAGUGGCAUUUCCAAUGGUUUGCAUCCCAACUGUUUUGAGAUCCUACAUUAUUUCGCUUCGACUGGCAGCAAGUGAAAAAGUGUGGCCUAUAACAACCCAGCAAGUGGAGAAAAAUCGGAUGCCAUGGACACAUCCGAGAUUGUCAUUUGCAGACGAAACAGAUACUUUCAUCGACAGGAUUUUUCGCCCAUUACUUAGAGCUGAGAAGCAAUGCAAUGCGGUCAGAGCUUUGCCGUCUGUUUUGGAGUCAAAAUCGGUCCCGCAGUACAUCCGCCAGGCUUCGUGAACUGUCGCUGCAACAACUAGUUUAGAUAAUAUCUUGAUUUUUUAACUACAUGACUGUGAUGGUGACACCGUCGAAGGGUGGAGGAUCGUUACUCUCUUUGAAGCAAUACUGUUCAUCUGUCACGGUCACCAGAGAUCUAUUUCCGAUGACAUAAAUUCCAAUAAGUUCGGCGACGGCUUGCCCGAGGUCAGCAGCAGUACAAGAUGACGGAAGGCAGAAUGUGGUACUUGGGUAAAGGUAAGUAUUUGAAUUGGCAACUGCCCGUUUGGGUUCGAUUCGAUCCGUUCCGAGAAGAUUGCCCAAGAUCUGAAAAAUUGUUACGAAGUUGCUCUUUUCGUUUACUUCUGUGGGCGGAAGGAUUUCUGACUCAUGAACAGUUCGAGUCAUGAAGAAAACGCUGCAGUACUGUCCGUCAAAGCCUGGUGCCCGAACAGCCAGACAUUCGUCGAAGAGUCCAUCCGCAUGAAUGUUAUUAGAUCCAAAAAGUCCAGGUGGUAGUUGUGCCGAAGACUCUUGCACUGGCGGAUUAAUAGCAAACAAUUAUGGUAAAGGAUUGCUUCUCAAGCCGUUUAACAUGUAAAAUUCUUUUUAUUUCAUUGUUCAAUAUUAUGAAAUGCACAGCUGUUAACGAAAAUACCAUGUCACGUGUAAUAGGUACUGCUUCGUAACGUUGUUAUCCGUUCUCCUUGUGACACCGGUCAUAGUGACAAAUGACUCAAAACAAAUAAGAUUGUGAUCGUUCUUUGAA
Molecule: long non-coding RNA, 3017 nt
Organism: Daphnia magna
Lineage: Eukaryota; Metazoa; Arthropoda; Branchiopoda; Diplostraca; Daphniidae
Exons: 12
Source: RefSeq, a predicted model, not a curated record